AUCGAAGUUCACGUCAAGCCUGCGCAAUGGAGCUUUGUCAUGAGCAGGAGUGAUAAGAAGUAAUAUUAACUGUAGUAAUAUGUGGUCUAACAUCACAGCAUUCAUUCUCCAGAAUGUUUCCUACAAAUUAUAAUGCAUAAAAAACUAUAAUCAUAUAUGCUUUUUUGUGGUAGAAUAAGAAAGGGAAAAUAGGAAAAAAUAUGGCACGAAUGUUCUAUUUGGACCAGCUGUCAAUUCAAAACUUCAAAAAUCUAUUCUUAAUAAACAUUUUAAAUAUUGAAAAACAAAAUAUUUUUAACUCAAAAUUUUAUGUCCAAUACACAAAAUCAGUGCUACAUAUAUCCAAAUAUUUUCCUCUCAUUUUUUAAAUAUUUUACAUAGAGAGUAACAUGUUUAUAUUGGUAUUAAAAUUUUUUGCAAUUAUCUUAAAUGUACCAUUAGAGAUAAACAGAAAUAAAAAAUUCAGUCUUCACAUACUUUUAAAACUUUAGUAUAAGUAAGACUGUUUUUGUUAGAAGUAUUAAAUGCAGUUUAACAAAAUUAUCAUGGACAUGCUGCAGCAAAAACAAAAUGUAUAUAAAAAAAACACAUUAUUACAAAUGUGAGCUGUAUCAGGAAGUUCCUGCAACACUAUGGAAUAAGAUUGCUAAAAGGAAAGUAAAUCAUCACAAUGAUCACCUUUUCUGGGCUUGAUCUUUUCUUAAAAUAUUUGUGCCCAUUUCAUAUUUUGUACAAUAUAAAAAUGAAGAUAUAAAUAUAUUAUUUUGACAUUAGCCUGAGAUAUUGAGAGGCAGAGCUGACUAGAUACAUUUUUUCUAAUCA
Long non-coding RNA from Schistocerca cancellata (South American locust), 822 nucleotides. RefSeq lists it as uncharacterized. The record is from RefSeq and is a predicted model, not a curated record. The transcript has 2 exons. NCBI's taxonomy places the organism in Eukaryota, Metazoa, Arthropoda, Insecta, Orthoptera, Acrididae.